UAACUCAAAAUGACCUAAAUGACUUAGGGACUAACUGGCAAAUACACAAAAAUAAAAACUUAGACCUAAUACCUAUAAAUACCCCAUAUACUCUUCAGCCGCAGGGGAGGGGAACAUUUGAAAGGUUCAUAUUUUACACCUUAGGUAUUGUUCAUCAUCGUCUUGAACACCAAAACAAGACCAAAAACCCUAGAACCCAUGGCUACUUCUUCUUCUUCUUGAACGAACCAGCAGCCCAACCACGCCUCUCAUCGCACAACCAUCACCCUCAACCACGCCAGUCGCCAACCCUCGUCACAGGUGCGUGUAUUGCUCCAAUUCCCCUGGGCAUGACAUAGAGAAGUGUUGGAAUCUGAAGAAUGCGAUUCAAAAGCUUAUUGAUGCAGGUGACCUUGUCGCGCCAAAUGAAGAUGCAGCAGGCACCAACCAAUGUCCAUCGCUUGUGAAUAAUAAGACGCACAUGAUGGGUGUGAUUUAUUUUGAAAAGGAAUAUGAGAAUUUUUCUGAGAGCCUCGGAGUUCCACAUGCUGCUAAGCUUUUAGCGGUAUUAGAGGUUGAUCCUGAAAACGGGUUGGCAAAAGGAACCCAAAAAAAAUUUGUUAAGAACAAUGUGAUGAAGACUUGUGAAGUUCCUAGUAUUGUUGAUGUCGAAUUUAGUGGCUAAGAUGUUGAGUUUGAGGAUUGGAAAGACGCUCUUUUCUUGGUUAGCCAGGGAGGAGUUUUGGUGGUUCACGUUGUUGUCAUUUCUCUUAUCCGAGUUAUUUCAGGGUUGUAAUCUGGAUAUUGGCUUGUGAUUCAAACCUUUCUAUCCUUUUAUUAUGUCUAAUUACUUUAUUCAUAGUAUCUCAUGGGACCAAAUUGGCACAUUUUAAAAUAAUUGUUCCAUUUGGGACCAAAGAUGAUCCCAAGUUCCUGAAGAUAUACUGUUUUUAUUUUUGAGUGAGAGACUCGACGUCGAAUCCCCGCAGCACCAAAUAGAUAUCUAAAACGGAGCAAGCUGAGAAAACUAGCGAUAUGAUUACCAGAUAAUCCGACUCGAGUUCGAGUCUCAGGCACCACGAGCCUCUUUGAAUAUGAAUCACUUAGUUCCAUAGAGAAAUACAGACCUUAAUUAACUACCUUAUUCACAGCAAAUAAGAACCCACCAAUUAAUCAAUAAAUUCGAAUUGAAAUACGCAUGCUAAAAUAUUAUCAGAAUUCCAACAACUGGACCUGAAUCAACCUAUCACUUAAUGUAACUUUCUAAUCACAGAACCAUAGAUUAAAACACAAAGCAGGCCUGCAUUCCUUUUAUUAACAUGUCUAAACAUGGAAUAACCAAAACCAAAAUGUACUGAACUUCAUGCAUUGAAUUCAAACACUGCAUACAAUAACAUACCAAAGAAGUAAUACGCAAUACAUGUACUAGAAAAAAACCCUGUAUUUAGCUAAUAGAAAUUACUAUAUUAGCCUUCGCUACAACUAAAAGAACUAGCUAAUCCAAAUAUAUCUCAUGAGUUCAAAAACAGUAUCUAGUUAAUUACAUAACAUGAUGAUCUAUAUAUCAACAAGGCUAAUGUACUAUAUCGAUUCGAAUGAACUCAACCCCCAUCAGCCAAAGCGUAGACAACAGAAUAUUUUGGAUUCAAAAAAUGAGAUAACACAGCCCGAAAAAAAACUUCAAACCAAUAGCUAACCCAACAAAUUUUGAGGAAUCAAAACCACUAAAAAUCAGUCCCAAUCAAUGGAACAGUAAACUUCAACAAAUCUCAGACCAAAACCCUUUCAAACUCAAGAUCAAACCAUCUCAAAUUCCCAAAAUGAACCAGAUUGUUUUAGAGUGAAGAACCUAAAAACUAGAAACAAAAUUCAAUAGAACAGUGAUUUCUUUUAAAGUUUUUCCUAGCCGCCUCUGACUUUCUGUGUUUUAGCUCUUAAAAUUCUCUCUUGAAAGGCAAGGAAAAGUGCCUUUAUAGGCAAGCCAAUAGGGAAAUCUUCAGAUUUUAGUUUUUACACUUUACCCCUUUUCGAAUUUUCAUUUUUGCUUAGCUAACCUCUAAUUAUUGACUUGCUACCCAAGUUUUAAUAACUAUACAUCUGAAAUUUCACUAACGCCCCUUACUAGAAGUUUCCAAAUUAGUUACUAAGAGAUUCCCUAUGUCCUAUUUCCAAAACGACCCCUUUAUGACCCUGUUAUUACCCCCUAAACUCAAUGGGUCCAACUGACCCAAGAAUUAAGCCAGCCUUGGGCUUAACAAGAACAACUCGGAUUCUUGCCCAUUUGGGCUUUCUAAUUUCCAGAAACCAAAUUCAGGCCAUAAACCAUAAUCAACAAUCCUAAUAGGUUGAACAAGAAAUCUCAGUAGAAAACCAGCUAUUCUUUAGCAAGAAACCAAAAUAAAAAAAAUAGGCGAGAAUUAAUCCCAUGAGACAAUUCAAACAAACUAAACAUUUAACAAAUUAAAGCAUGCAAACAGAUACAAAUAAAAUAAAAGAACAAAUAUGUGACAAAGAGGAGAAGAGGAGAUGGAGAAGAGAUUAAGACCUGAAUUUAAACUAAGACGAAGAACAAAGAGAAUGAUAACUGAGAACACCUAACGUGGAUGGCCAACCUUGAAGUCACUCUUCGACCUUUCGAUUAUGACCAAAAGGAGUCUUAAUCAUGUGUUCACAAGGGAAAACACAUGAACAAGAUCUAUCUUGGCCUCAAUCUUUAAUAACUCCGUCGAUUUUGGAAUCUGGAAAUAUUAGGUUUCAAGUUUAAGAUUUGAUGACUUCAAGCAAUAUUUGAGGGCAAUGGGUUAGCUAGAGGGUGCCGUGGUUGGUCUAGGGUAUCAAUCUGGGGUCGAUUGGGGAAAUUUGGGUUAGACCUCCCCUCUUCAAUUCACAAUUCGAGCAGUUUGGUUGGGAUUUGAGGGAAAAAGGGGUGUGGAUUUGGAAAUAGGAGGAAGAGAAGAAGCUAGGGUGUAAUUUUGGUGGAGAUUAGAGCAACGCCACCGGCGGAGAUGAUUUUUGGAAGGAGGUGUGCGGCGGAGAUGGUGGGGGUUCUCUGAGGAGUGGGGUGAAAGAGACAGGAUUGGGGCGGUAGGGUGUUGUUCGGACACUUAUAUAUUGAGAUGACACCACU
Molecule: long non-coding RNA, 3106 nt
Filed under: Nicotiana benthamiana
Lineage: Eukaryota; Viridiplantae; Streptophyta; Magnoliopsida; Solanales; Solanaceae
Description: long non-coding RNA (NBEN_LNC026630)
Source: RNAcentral